This 336-nucleotide unclassified non-coding RNA is filed under the name soil metagenome. Its description in RNAcentral is "partial contains 5.8S ribosomal RNA, internal transcribed spacer 2, and large subunit ribosomal RNA". The stretch from base 1 to 120 matches the Rfam family "5.8S ribosomal RNA", at positions 35 to 154 of the family's 154-position model. The record is from RNAcentral.
GAUGAAGAACGUAGUGAAAUGCGAUAAGUAAUGUGAAUUGCAGAAUUCAGUGAAUCAUCGAAUCUUUGAACGCACAUUGCGCCCGCCAGUAUUCUGGCGGGCAUGCCUAUUCGAGCGUCAUUUCAACCAUCAAGCCCCAGGCUUGUGUUGGGGACCUGCGGCUGCCGCAGGCCCUGAAAACCAGUGGCGGGCUCGCUGUCACACCGGGCGUAGUAGAUUUUAUCUCGCUCAGGGCGUGCUGCGGGUUCCGGCCGUUAAAAAGCCUUUUUUACCCAAGGUUGACCUCGGAUCAGGUAGGAAGACCCGCUGAACUUAAGCAUAUCAAUAAGCGGAGGA